GGAAGAUAAUCAGGGGAGCAUCAGCUUCACCAGCCAUUGCCCAGAAGCAGGAUUAUCAUUCAGAGAAGACUUCUCAUGAAGAAAGAAGGGUGGAUGCCAGUAGCCUCCUGGAGAGAAAGCCCAGGAUGAAGACUUCCUUAGAGAUCUUCUCCCCAUCUGCGUAGUUUGCGGGCGAACCUCUUCACCCUCCAGAUUUCACAGAGCACUGGACAACCCUUCAGUUAUCAGUUAAGCAGAAAAACCACCAACAAAAAGCAUAAAAAUGCAAAGCCCC
Molecule: long non-coding RNA, 274 nt
Organism: Myotis davidii
Lineage: Eukaryota; Metazoa; Chordata; Mammalia; Chiroptera; Vespertilionidae
Exons: 3
Source: RefSeq, a predicted model, not a curated record